CCCAUAGUUCUUACUGUCAUCUUCAAAAUAAUUCCCGUGGAGAAAUAAUUAGUAUGAUAAAGACAGAAUUUCUGCUUGUUUUGCAAUCACAUAUUCUUGAUAACGCCUCCUUUUUCUUUUUUUUUUCUUUUUUUUUUCUUUUUUUUUUUUAAUCUUUUUGUAUUUCCACUCAAAAAUGCUUUGUUGAAUUAUCUUUCAAAAGAGAGGAAUUAACUCGGGAAAAUGGGAAGUCAGAAGGUUUUCCAGGGCUGGGACAGAGAGUCCAUUAUGAAUGUCUGCAGGGCCUUCCUGACGAGUGUGCAGGCUGGAGAAUUUCAUCCUUAUCUAAACUGUUUCCAGAUUGACAAGGGUAUCUUGACAUUUCCUGUAAGGACCUGGCCACAGCCUAGAUCCAGCUUCCUGUGUGGCUUCAUGCCAUCAGCAGCUCAUUUGGAUGCCUUGGAUCAUUCAGGAGAGGCACACUAUUCUCCGCAGAAGUACUACUACAUGCAGGAUAUAGUUGUGGCGCUCCAAAGCGUACCUCAGGAAUUUCCAGGCAGCUGUUCUCAGGGGAAGCUGAUGUGCUCUGGAAUUCUUGUCCCAACCAGACAUGUACCCAAAAUGCCUAGGUUAGGAGUCAAGAUCUCCCAAGAGCUCUGUAUAAGCUCUGAUGAGAAACAGCAGAUCUAUGGGUGACUCAGCAUAGACACAGAAUAAAUUACUUCUCUCCUUGCUAAACAGCUGGCUGCAUGGUGAUGUCCCCUUGAGAUGGGAUGACUCUCAAGGAUACUCCUCGAGGUUGAGAGACCCCUUAACCAACUGCAGACCUUUG
RNAcentral lists this long non-coding RNA (811 nucleotides) under Anas platyrhynchos platyrhynchos (common mallard). Its description in RNAcentral is "lncRNA (ENSAPLG00000016882.1)". Lineage: Eukaryota; Metazoa; Chordata; Aves; Anseriformes; Anatidae. The record is from RNAcentral.